UCAGUCGACUCCUACGGGGAGGCAGCAGUGGGGAAUAUUGCACAAUGGGGGAAACCCUGAUGCAGCCAUGCCGCGUGUGUGAAGAAGGCCUUCGGGUUGUAAAGCACUUUCAGUAGGGAGGAAGGUAGUGUAGUUAACACCUGUACUAUUUGACGUUACCUACAGAAGAAGCACCGGCUAACUCCGUGCCAGCAGCCGCGGUAAUACGGAGGGUGCGAGCGUUAAUCGGAAUUACUGGGCGUAAAGCGCAUGCAGGCGGCCUGUUAAGUCAGAUGUGAAAGCCCGGGGCUUAACCUCGGAAUUGCAUUUGAAACUGGCAGGCUAGAGUCUUGUAGAGGGGGGUAGGAAUUUCAGGUGUAGCGGUGAAAUGCGUAGAGAUCUGAAGGAAUACCAGUGGCGAAGGCGGCCCCCUGGACAAAGACUGACGCUCAGAUGCGAAAGCGUGGGGAGCAAACAGGAUUAGAUACCCUGGUAG
This 475-nucleotide ribosomal RNA is filed under the name uncultured bacterium. RNAcentral describes it as "bacterial SSU rRNA". It matches the Rfam family "Bacterial small subunit ribosomal RNA", at positions 328 to 793 of the family's 1533-position model. The record is from RNAcentral.